UGCGUAGGCGGGCUAAUAAGUCAGUGGUGAAAUCUCUCGGUUCAACCGGGAAACUGCCAUUGAUACUGUUAGUCUUGAGUUCGGUUGAGGUAGGCGGAAUGUGUAAUGUAGCGGUGAAAUGCUUAGAUAUUACACAGAACACCAAUUGCGUAGGCAGCUUACUAGACCGACACUGACGCUGAGGCACGAAAGCGUGGGGAGCGAACAGGAUUAGAUACCCUGGUAGUCC
Molecule: ribosomal RNA, 229 nt
Filed under: uncultured bacterium
Lineage: Bacteria
Description: partial 16S ribosomal RNA
Rfam family: Bacterial small subunit ribosomal RNA
Source: RNAcentral